RNAcentral lists this ribosomal RNA (441 nucleotides) under uncultured bacterium. RNAcentral's name for it is "partial 16S ribosomal RNA". It matches the Rfam family "Bacterial small subunit ribosomal RNA", at positions 338 to 795 of the family's 1533-position model. The record is from RNAcentral.
CCUACGGGAGGCUGCAGUGGGGGAUAUUGCACAAUGGGGGGAACCCUGAUGCAGCGACGCCGCGUGAGUGAAGGAGCGUUUCGGCGCGUAAAGCCCUAUCGGCAGGGAAGAAGAAGGACGGUACUUGACUAAGAAGCCCCGGCUAACUACGUCCCAGCAGCCGCGGUAAUACGUAGGGGGCAAGCGUUAUCCGGAUUUACUGGGUGUAAAGGGGGCGCAGCCGGCAGCGUAAGCCAGGAGUGAAGGCCCGGGGCACAACCCCGGGACUGCUUUUGGAACUGGGCGGCUGGAGUGCGGGAGGGGCAGGCGGAAUUCGUGGUGUAGCGGUGAAAUGCGUAGAUAUCAGGAGGAACACCGGUGGCGAAGGCGGCCUGCUGGACUGCGACUGACGUUGAGGCCCGAAAGCGUGGGGAGCAAACAGGAUUAGAUACCCGAGUAGUC